RNAcentral lists this transfer RNA (72 nucleotides) under Telmatherina celebensis (Celebes rainbow). RNAcentral describes it as "tRNA-Trp". It matches the Rfam family "tRNA". From Rfam's summary of the family: Transfer RNA (tRNA) molecules are approximately 80 nucleotides in length. Their secondary structure includes four short double-helical elements and three loops (D, anti-codon, and T loops). Lineage: Eukaryota; Metazoa; Chordata; Actinopteri; Atheriniformes; Telmatherinidae. The record is from RNAcentral.
AGAAACUUAGGAUAACAUUUAAACCACAAGCCUUCAAAGCCUGUAAUGGAAGUGAAAAUCUUCCAGUUUCUG